Brassica napus (rape) is the source of this 835-nucleotide long non-coding RNA. RefSeq lists it as uncharacterized. NCBI's taxonomy places the organism in Eukaryota, Viridiplantae, Streptophyta, Magnoliopsida, Brassicales, Brassicaceae. The record is from RefSeq and is a predicted model, not a curated record. The transcript is spliced from 2 exons.
UUCAGACAUCGCUCUUAGACGAGAGUGAUAAUUGUCGAUUUGCCAAACAAAUUGUACAAAAACAAAUAAGAUCGAAAGGACAAAGCUUUUUGCUCCUUUUUUCAACUUUUCUUGGUUCUGUUUUGUUCUCUUUGGUUCUAUUCCCCUCAGUGAAUCUUUCUAGCUGCGAUAUUUUUUUUUUUGGAUUUUCUUAUCCGGUACGGGGUUUCCGGUUCAUCUUCUAUCGUCAUUUGCUGUUGCCUAAAUCUUAUGGGAAACUGAGCAGGUUCGUGUCCUAGCAUCAUCUCCUUUGACUCGUUUUAUCUCUAUGCAAAGUCUUUUUUUUUUUACAAUCUCAGGGGAUGCGCUAUUUGCGUUGAGGGAUUUAGUUACGUGCAUUGCCUAAUCAACUCAGUGACUGGAAUCAGAAUCAAGUGAAUCCUUGCAUUUGGUCCCAAGUCAUUUGUGAUGACAAAAACUUUGUCACUUCUCUGUUCGCCUGAAGACAGACUAGUGAUGUCUGAAGUUGCACGGAUGUUAGAAGGAGAAGAGCUUGCAGAGAGAUGGGAAGAGUGGUAAAAAGUGGAAGUCACGAGAUGUCAUGAGUUCGAGAGGUUGCAGAGUGAGAGGAGGUUUGAUUGGGGUGAAGAUUCUAGAAGUACUUUUCUUCUAUGAAUAAUCAAGAUGCCAUUGAAUUAAUUACCAGGUGGAAGAUGACCAAAUAUCAAAUCUUGAUUUUACUGGAAAGCUGUAUACAUGGGCUAUCUUUGACUUGAAUCCUGUGAAAGAGAAUGGCCCUAAUGUUUGAUUGUUGCCUGUUCUUUGAACAUAAUUUUAUUUGACUUUUUUUCGUUGA